GAUCCUGGCUCAGGAUAAACGCUGGCGGCGCACAUAAGACAUGCAAGUCGAACGGAAGUCGUUGUAAUGAUAUAGACAUGGACUGAGAACUUGUUCAAAGAAAGUGAAAGUUGACUUACAACAAUGGCUUUAGUGGCGGACUGGUGAGUAACACGUAAGCAACCUGCCUAUCAGAGGGGAACAACAGUUAGAAAUGACUGCUAAUACCGCAUAUGCCUAAGUACCACAUGGU
Molecule: ribosomal RNA, 232 nt
Filed under: uncultured bacterium
Lineage: Bacteria
Description: partial 16S ribosomal RNA
Rfam family: Bacterial small subunit ribosomal RNA
Source: RNAcentral